UACGGAGGGUGCAAGCGUUACCCGGAAUCACUGGGCGUAAAGGGCGUGUAGGCGGGAUGUUAAGUCUGACUUUAAAGACUGUGGCUCAACCACAGGAGUGGGCUGGAUACUGGCAUUCUAGACGACUGGAGAGGCGAUUGGAAUUACUGGUGUAGCGGUGGAAUGCGUAGAUACCAGUAGGAACGUCAAUGGCGAAGGCAGGUCGCUGGACAGUUUGUGACGCUGAGGCGCGAAAGUGUGGGGAGCAAACCGGAUUAGAAACCCCCGUAGUCC
This 273-nucleotide ribosomal RNA is filed under the name uncultured bacterium. RNAcentral's name for it is "partial 16S ribosomal RNA". It matches the Rfam family "Bacterial small subunit ribosomal RNA", at positions 524 to 796 of the family's 1533-position model. The record is from RNAcentral.